This 258-nucleotide ribosomal RNA is filed under the name uncultured bacterium. Its description in RNAcentral is "partial 16S ribosomal RNA". It matches the Rfam family "Bacterial small subunit ribosomal RNA", at positions 263 to 529 of the family's 1533-position model. The record is from RNAcentral.
GCUCACCAAGACGACGACGGGUAGCCGGCCUGAGAGGGCGACCGGCCACACUGGGACUGAGACACGGCCCAGACUCCUACGGGAGGCAGCAGUGGGGAAUAUUGCACAAUGGGGGAAACCCUGAUGCAGCGACGCAGCGUGCGGGAUGACGGCCUUCGGGUUGUAAACCGCUUUCAGCAGGGAAGAAGCCCCUCGGGGUGACGGUACCUGCAGAAGAAGUACCGGCUAACUACGUGCCAGCAGCCGCGGUAAUACAAA